RNAcentral lists this long non-coding RNA (1054 nucleotides) under Marmota monax (woodchuck). Lineage: Eukaryota; Metazoa; Chordata; Mammalia; Rodentia; Sciuridae. The record is from RNAcentral.
GAUGUAGCUCAGUGGUAAAGUGCUCCUGGGUUCAAUACCAAAAACCCCCACCCUAGGAAUUUAAGCUUUAUUACCUAUGUUUUUGACUAUAGCCUUUGUUUUAUGAAUGUCCCAUUCUUUUUUAAAAAUAUUUUUUAGUUAUAGAUGGACACCAUGCCUUUAUUUUAUUUAUUUAUUUUUAUGUGAUGCUAAAGAUCAAACCCAGGGCCUCACAUGUGCUAGGCAAGCGCUCUAUUACUGAGCCACAGCCCCAGCUCUCAAUCUGUCCCAUUCUUGUAACUCUUUCUCCUACUACCAUCUGUUUGACCUCAUCCAGGUCUUCAAUUGCUGAAUAUAUUCAUAUUCUCCUGACUUUUCUUCUUUUUUUCUGUUACUGGGGAUAAAAUCCAAAGGUAUUUUACCCCUGAGCUACAUCUUCAGCCCUUUUUCACUUAUUUUGAGACAGGAUCUUGCUACAUUGCUCAGGCUGACCUUGAACUUGUGAUACUUCUGGGUCACUGGAAUUAGUGUACACCACCACACCUGGCCCAUAUUGCAUUUAGUAAGUACCCUAUUUUACUCUUUCUUCUUUCCCCAUAUGGUAAGUUCUCAGAUCUUUUAUUUUAAUUUUUAAUUUUUGUUAUUUGUUUUUUGCACUGGGGAAUGUAACCAGGGGUGCUUUACCACUGAGCCUCAUCCUUUUUGUUUUUUAUUUUGAAACAGGUCUCCCUAAGUUACCUUGCUAUGUUGAUGAGACUGGCCUUGAACUUGCGAUCCUCCUGCCUCAGCCUCCCAAGUUGCUUGGAUUACAGGCAAGGAUCCCUGUGUACAGCAGACAUUAUCUUUAUUUUUUUAAAUUAAUUUUAAUUUAGAAAUAUUUAUUAUUAUAUUAUAAUAAAUAAAUAUUAAAUAAUAUUUCUUUAUUAUUGUUAUUAUUUUGGUACCAGGGAUGAACCCAAGGGUGCUUAACCACUGAGCCACAUCCCCAGUCCUUUCUUUUUUUGCAUUUUAUUUAGAGACAGGGUUUCACUCUGUUGCUUAGUGCCUCACUAAGUUUCUGGGGCUGGCUUUGAUC